This 424-nucleotide ribosomal RNA is filed under the name uncultured prokaryote. RNAcentral describes it as "bacterial SSU rRNA". It matches the Rfam family "Bacterial small subunit ribosomal RNA", at positions 355 to 776 of the family's 1533-position model. The record is from RNAcentral. RNAcentral also lists the same sequence under 1 other name.
UGAGGAAUAUUGGUCAAUGGACGAGAGUCUGAACCAGCCAAGUAGCGUGAAGGACGAAGGCCCUACGGGUCGUAAACUUCUUUUAUAGGGGAAUAAAGUGGAGAACGUGUUCUCCUUUGUAUGUACCCUACGAAUAAGGAUCGGCUAACUCCGUGCCAGCAGCCGCGGUAAUACGGAGGAUCCAAGCGUUAUCCGGAUUUAUUGGGUUUAAAGGGAGCGUAGGUGGACGUAUAAGUCAGUUGUGAAAGUUUGCGGCUCAACCGUAAAAUUGCAGUUGAUACUGUAUGUCUUGGGUGUACAAGAGGUGAGCGGAAUUCGUGGUGUAGCGGUGAAAUGCUUAGAUAUCACGAGGAACUCCGAUUGCGAAGGCAGCUCACUGGGGUACAACUGACACUGAGGCUCGAAAGUGUGGGUAUCAAACAGG